Molecule: ribosomal RNA, 61 nt
Filed under: uncultured Hebeloma
Lineage: Eukaryota; Fungi; Basidiomycota; Agaricomycetes; Agaricales; Cortinariaceae
Description: partial 28S ribosomal RNA
Source: RNAcentral
UUGACCUCAAAUCAGGUAGGACUACCCGCUGAACUUAAGCAUAUCAUAAAACGCCGGGGGA